CAGAGAGUCAUUGAAAAUAGUGAGAAAAGUGACAAUACCAAUGCUGGUCAAAUGACAGAUCGAGAACAGGCAGAUUCUGCAGGAGAAACUCCUGGAAUGGAUUCAUAACUUCAGAAUGUAUAUUGGAAUGCUGAAUUUAUAUUGCCCAUUUGUCCUGCUUCCAAGACAUGAAAGUCUAUAUCCAACUGUUCCUUUGCUGCCUGAUAUCUCACUCUUGGGAUAACCGAGGUUAACUUUGGGAUCCAGUCCCUAGUGAUUUUGAAAAUUAACAAUGCCUCUAUAUGUGACAGUGAUGUGG
Molecule: non-coding RNA, 298 nt
Organism: Pelobates cultripes (western spadefoot toad)
Lineage: Eukaryota; Metazoa; Chordata; Amphibia; Anura; Pelobatidae
Source: the annotation of a GenBank genome assembly